GACGAACGCUGGCGGCGUGCCUAAUACAUGCAAGUAGACCGCAGUUGCGAACGGGUGAGUAACGCGUAGGUAACUGCCUCAUAGCGGGGGAGUACUAUUGGAAACGAUAGCUAAUACCCGAUACUGUGAGAUGGACCUGCGUUGUAUUAGCUAGGUGGUGAGGUAAAGGCUCACCAAGGCGACGAUACAUAGCCGACCUGAGAGGGUGUGCGGCCACACUGGGACUGGGACACGGCCCAGACGCCUACUGGAGGCAGCAGGAGGGAAUCGUCGGAAAUGGACGGAAGGCCGACCGAGCAACGCCGCGGUCGUGAAGAAGGUUUUCGGGUCGUAAAGCUAUGUUGUUAGAGAAGCGGUAACCACCCAGAAAGGGACGGCUAACUACGUGCCAGCCGCCGCGGUAAUAC
This 407-nucleotide ribosomal RNA is filed under the name uncultured bacterium. Its description in RNAcentral is "partial 16S ribosomal RNA". It matches the Rfam family "Bacterial small subunit ribosomal RNA", at positions 28 to 526 of the family's 1533-position model. The record is from RNAcentral.